GGGGGUUUAGCUCAGCUGGGAGAGCGCCUGCUUUGCACGCAGGAGGUCAGCGGUUCGAUCCCGCUAGUCUCCACCA
This 76-nucleotide transfer RNA is filed under the name Staphylococcus aureus. RNAcentral describes it as "tRNA-Ala". It matches the Rfam family "tRNA". Rfam says of the family: Transfer RNA (tRNA) molecules are approximately 80 nucleotides in length. Their secondary structure includes four short double-helical elements and three loops (D, anti-codon, and T loops). Lineage: Bacteria; Bacillati; Bacillota; Bacilli; Caryophanales; Staphylococcaceae. The record is from RNAcentral.